GGUGCUCUGUGCUGGGGUGUUCUUUUCUCGGAGGGCGCACUCGGGGAAGGUGGAAAGGUUUCCCCCUUCAGGGGUGACCAAGACAAGCCGCUAAGCCUAACCUGACUCCAGCAGGGGAUGGGGCGGAUCGGAAGUUACCUUACCCCCCUGCUUAGCCCUAGAAUCAAGGACGUACCAAGUCACAUAAAAGUACAACCGUCGAGGCCAGGCGCGGUGGCUCACGCCUGUAAUCCCAGCACUUUGGAAGGCCGAGGUGGGUGGAUCACGAGGUCAGGAGUUCAAGACCAGCCUGGCCAAGAUGGUGAAACCCCGUCUCUACUAAAAAUACAAAAAAAUUAGCCGGGCGUGGUGGCGGGCGCCUGUAAUCCCAGCUACUCGGGAGGCUGAGGCAAAGACUUGCUUGAACCCGGGAGGCGGAGAUUGCAGGUAGCCGAGAUCGCGCCACUGCACUCCAGCCUGGGCGACAGAGCGAGACUCUGUCUCAAAAAAAAAAAAAAAAAAGUACAACCUUCGAAUCCCGAAAGGGGUGUGUGCGUGUGGGCGGACCUAGGACUCCAGAGUAUAAGAGCUGGAACUGACCUCGGGACUGUGUCCCCCAAAACACUGAAAAUGAGACCUGAGGUGCUGGGCUUUCCUCACACCCACCGACUUACUCCCAUUUAGGCGGCCCCGACUCCGCCCCUCCUCCCUACCUCCCUCAUCCUACCCCUCUCUUUUUGCCCCCACAGUCCCAGCUUCCUUUAGAUGGAUGGAGGUCUCUCGGAGGAGCUUCAGCUUUGUGGACUCAGGCUGCCUUCCCCACUUGCUCUUUAGGCCUCGGGGCACGCUCCGCUGGCUACAGCUCCUGGAGUCUCUGCUCAAGGUUGUGGGUGCUUUUGUUCCCCAGCGGUGGUAGCUCCAGAAAGGCUGGUUUCAGCUCAAUAUCAGGUCUUUUCCAGUGAUCUACAUCUGUCCACAGGUGACAUGGGCUGCCUUGGGACAAUGGUAGCUGUUCAAGUCAAGGCCGGCAAGAGUGGUGUAGAGUGAGAUUGCACUGGGUGACUUCUGAGCUAAAUCCAACCCCAAUAUUCUGUGAUUCAGUGGCACUCACCCUGCCAAGGAAGGGGCUUCCUUCCUGCUGCAGUUCCCAUUGCCCAACAUGCAUCAGGUCUUACUGAUGAUUAGAGGACAACUAGGUCACAGCUAAGCUUGCCAGGUACUAUCAGACACCUGCUUCCUAUGGUCCCUUCCUCAUGAGGACAGGUGAGGUCAUGAUCUGCAUAUGCCUGUGUGCCAUACAGUGAUCAUGUGUGCCUGUUUCUGCUGUUCCUACGCACGUAUACAAAACCUUUUUAUAUAACAUCAUUUUAAUGGAAAUGCUGUUUUUCCAAAAUGAAAGUGGCUGUUACAGAUCUGAAUGAUGCUUAUGUAACUUUAAACACUGAAUUUGGGUAGAUCUUAAUUCAUUAACAGAAAGGGAAACGGAGGAGUUCUGACAUACCCACCUCCCAUCAUUAAAACAAUAGGAUCUUUAAGGUAAAUCUUCAAUAGUCAGGUUGCUAUGGGGGCCUUUUUAGACCCUUCCCCUGCCCUCUUCUAAGGUAGAUUAGUUGCAGUGGGAGGAAUGCAGGCAGGAGCUGAGGACUGAGGAUUUAGAGGGGCCUGCUACCCAUAGCACUGUAGGGCAGGACACUUCACUUCGUUAUGCUUCCAUUUCCUCAUCCAUAGAGACAAUACCUCCCCUUUUGUAAUUUACAAAGUACUUUCACAUAUAUUAUCUAUUUCAUUUGAUCUCUCACUUCUUUGAGGUUGAUAGAGCAGAUAUUAUGCCCAUUUUUAUAGAUGCCUGUUUUGUAAAUGAGGAAUUGGUCUGGGAAGGUUAAUUGACUCACCUGAGACCUCACAGCUUGUUAAGAAGAGGAGACAGGAUGUCUUUGGACUUUAAGACUAGAACCCUUGACACUUUAACAUAGUUCCCUUCUUAUCUAUAGGAUGGAGGAGACACUAGAACCUAUCGCUCUCUUUUCCUGCUGUGAACUCCAAUUGCAUCACCUCCUGGUU
Molecule: long non-coding RNA, 2040 nt
Filed under: Homo sapiens (human)
Lineage: Eukaryota; Metazoa; Chordata; Mammalia; Primates; Hominidae
Description: non-protein coding lnc-TSFM-3:2
Source: RNAcentral